AGUGGAAUUGCUGGAUGGUAUGUUAGUUCUAGUCUUAAUAUUUUGAAGAAUCUCCAUGCCAUUUGCCAAGGUGGCUAUUCUAUUCUACAUUUCUACCAGUAAU
RNAcentral lists this microRNA precursor (103 nucleotides) under Marmota monax (woodchuck). Lineage: Eukaryota; Metazoa; Chordata; Mammalia; Rodentia; Sciuridae. The record is from RNAcentral.